UAGGGAAUCUUCCACAAUGGACGAAAGUCUGAUGAAGCAACGCCGCGUGAGUGAAGAAGGGUUUCGGCUCGUAAACUCUGUUGUUAAAGAAGAACAUAUCUGAGAGUAACUGUUCAGGUAUUGACGGUAUUUAACCAGAAAGCCACGGCUAACUACGCGCCAG
This 163-nucleotide ribosomal RNA is filed under the name uncultured bacterium. RNAcentral's name for it is "partial 16S ribosomal RNA". It matches the Rfam family "Bacterial small subunit ribosomal RNA", at positions 355 to 511 of the family's 1533-position model. The record is from RNAcentral.